AUACUUACCUGGCAGAGGAGAUACCAUGAUCAAGAAGGUGGUUUACCCAGGGCGAGACGCACCUUUUGCACUCCAGAUGCGCUGACCCCUGCGGUUUUCCCAAAUGCGGGAAACUCGACUGCAUAGCUUGUGGCAGUGAGGGACUGUGUUCAUGCUCUCCCCUG
Molecule: small nuclear RNA, 164 nt
Organism: Pteronotus mesoamericanus
Lineage: Eukaryota; Metazoa; Chordata; Mammalia; Chiroptera; Mormoopidae
Product: U1 spliceosomal RNA
Exons: 1
Source: RefSeq, a predicted model, not a curated record